AAGUCGUAACAAGGUUUCCGUAGGUGAACCUGCGGAAGGAUCAUUAUUGAAUAAAUCUGACAUGGUUGUAGCUGGCUCUUCGGGGCAUGUGCUCGCCUGUCACCUUUAUCUUUCCACCUGUGCACACACUGUAGUCCUGGAUACCUCUCGCCGCAAGGCGGAUGCAGAGACUGCUGUUCAGCCUCUGAAAGGGGGAGGUCGGCUAUCUCUGAAUUUCCAGGUCUACGAUUAUCACAUACCCCAAUCGAAUGUUACAGAAUGUUAUCAAAGGGCCUUGUGCCUAUAAACCUAUACAACUUUCAGCAACGGAUCUCUUGGCUCUC
This 323-nucleotide unclassified non-coding RNA is filed under the name Coprinopsis pachyderma. RNAcentral describes it as "partial internal transcribed spacer region". The stretch from base 1 to 46 matches the Rfam family "Eukaryotic small subunit ribosomal RNA", at positions 1786 to 1831 of the family's 1831-position model. Lineage: Eukaryota; Fungi; Basidiomycota; Agaricomycetes; Agaricales; Psathyrellaceae. The record is from RNAcentral.